GUGCUUGCUUCAGCAACACACAUACUAAAAUUAAAACAGUACAGAGGAGAUGAACAGAGCCCAGAUUAGGAUGAUAUAUAAGUUCAGUAAGUGUUUUACAUUUUU
This is a small nuclear RNA of Vulpes vulpes (red fox), 105 nucleotides long. The record is from Ensembl. Lineage: Eukaryota; Metazoa; Chordata; Mammalia; Carnivora; Canidae.